Molecule: ribosomal RNA, 472 nt
Filed under: uncultured bacterium
Lineage: Bacteria
Description: partial 16S ribosomal RNA
Rfam family: Bacterial small subunit ribosomal RNA
Source: RNAcentral
GACGAACGCUGGCGGCGUGCUUAACACAUGCAAGCCGAACGCUCAAGCUUGGUGCUUGCACUGGGUGGAUGAGUGGCGAACGGGUGAGUAAUACGUGAGUAACCUGCCCUUGACUCUGGGAUAAGCCUGGGAAACUGGUUCUAAUACUGGAUACGACAUGCCACUGCAUGGUGGUGUGUGGAAAGGGCUUUUAUGGUUUUGGAUUGGCUGACGGCCUAUCAGCUUGUUGGUGGGGUAAUGGCCUACCAAGGCGACGACGGGUUGCCUGCCUGAGAGGGUUGCCGGACACACUGGGACUGAGACACGGCACAGACUCGAACGGGAAGCAGCGGUGGGGAAGAGUGCACAGUGGGCUGGGGCCUGAUGCAGCGACGCCGCGUGGGGGAUGACGGGCUUGGGGUUGUGAUCCUCUGUCAGCAUGGAAGAAGCGAGAGUGACGGUACCUGCAGAAGAAGCGCCGGCUAACUACGUG